GGGGGUGUAAAGGUUUCGACGGGGGUAGGAAGCAAAGGUUGCAUGCCGGGGUGUGGGCAGGCCCCGUAAAACAGCCCACACGGCUAUAAAUGCCGACAAUUACAGCUACGCCGUAGCAGCUUAAUACCCUGCUACCGUCUCUCCUAGUUCUUCUCAUGGGCCGGGAAGAGGCGUCAUUUUCGUGAGAUAGUUUUCCCGAAGGCCCACGGCGGGGAAGCGAAACCUAGUGGGAUCGCGGUCUGAAGAUUCUGUUCGGUGAAGACGAUGACUGCUAAACCUUAAACACCGAAACAAGCAUGUAGACGCCUUCUGUGUAUGACUUUCGGACGCGGGUUCGAUUCCCGCCACCUCCACCA
This 356-nucleotide transfer-messenger RNA is filed under the name Geobacter argillaceus. RNAcentral's name for it is "Geomobilibacter argillaceus Standard tmRNA". It matches the Rfam family "transfer-messenger RNA". From Rfam's summary of the family: Bacterial tmRNA, also known as 10Sa RNA or SsrA, is named for its dual tRNA and mRNA-like properties. Its role is to liberate the mRNA from a stalled ribosome. The record is from Rfam by way of RNAcentral. Lineage: Bacteria; Pseudomonadati; Thermodesulfobacteriota; Desulfuromonadia; Geobacterales; Geobacteraceae.